UGAGGAAUAUUGGUCAAUGGGCGCAAGCCUGAACCAGCCAUCCCGCGUGCAGGAAGGCGGCCCUAUGGGUUGUAAACUGCUUUUCCAGGGAGAGAAACAUGCGCACGUGUUGCGCAAUUGACGGUACCCUGGGAAUAAGCAUCGGCUAACUCCGUGCCAGCAGCCGCGGUAAUACGGAGGAUGCAAUCGUUAUCCGGAUUCAUUGGGUUUAAAGGGUGCGUAGGCGGACUAUUAAGUCAGUGGUGAAAGCCUGCAGCUUAACUGCAGAACUGCCAUUGAUACUGAUAGUCUUGAGUUUGGUUAAGGUAGGCGGAAUGUGUAAUGUAGCGGUGAAAUGCUUAGAUAUUACACAGAACACCAAUUGCGUAGGCAGCUUACUGAGCCGACACUGACGCUGAGGCACGAAAGCGUGGGGAUCGAACAG
Molecule: ribosomal RNA, 424 nt
Filed under: uncultured bacterium
Lineage: Bacteria
Description: bacterial SSU rRNA
Rfam family: Bacterial small subunit ribosomal RNA
Source: RNAcentral